UACGUAGGGUGCAAGCGUUAAUCGGAAUUACUGGGCGUAAAGCGUGCGCAGGCGGUUUUCCAAGACAGAUGUGAAAUCCCCGGGCUCAACCUGGGAAUGGCAUUUGUGACUGGAAGGCUAGAGUGUGUCAGAGGGGGGGUAGAAUUCCGACGUGUAGCAGUGAAAUGCGUAGAGAUGUGGAGGAAUACCGAUGGCGAAGGCAGCCCCCUGGGAUAACACUGACGCUCAUGCACGAAAGCGUGGGGAGCAAACAGG
RNAcentral lists this ribosomal RNA (255 nucleotides) under uncultured bacterium. Its description in RNAcentral is "partial 16S ribosomal RNA". It matches the Rfam family "Bacterial small subunit ribosomal RNA", at positions 524 to 776 of the family's 1533-position model. The record is from RNAcentral.